AUCUGUUCUUAUCAGUUUAAUAUCUGAUACGUCCCCCAUCGGGGGACCACAUAUUAAACGGAUUUUUGGAACAGGGAGCUGGAUCA
Small nuclear RNA from Lepisosteus oculatus (spotted gar), 86 nucleotides. Its record names the gene U2. It matches the Rfam family "U2 spliceosomal RNA". Rfam says of the family: U2 is a small nuclear RNA (snRNA) component of the spliceosome (involved in pre-mRNA splicing). Lineage: Eukaryota; Metazoa; Chordata; Actinopteri; Semionotiformes; Lepisosteidae. The record is from Ensembl.